RNAcentral lists this ribosomal RNA (373 nucleotides) under uncultured eukaryote. RNAcentral describes it as "partial 18S ribosomal RNA". It matches the Rfam family "Eukaryotic small subunit ribosomal RNA", at positions 592 to 976 of the family's 1831-position model. The record is from RNAcentral.
CAAUAGCGUAUAUUAAAGUUGUUGCAGUUAAAAAGCUCGUAGUUGGAUUUCUGGGAGGAUGCCGAUGUCCGCCAUAGUGCGUGCGCAGAGGCGUCUUUCCAUCCUUCUGUUAACACUUCUUGGCAUUCAUUUGCUGGUAGUGGGCUCAGAUAUUUUACCUUGAGAAAAUUAGAGUGUUUCAGGCAGGCUAGGCCGGAAUACAUUAGCAUGGAAUAAUGGAAUAGGACUACGGUCUCUUUGUUGGUUUGAGGGACUAUAGUAAUGAUUAAUAGGGAUAGUUGGGGGCAUUAGUAUUUAAUAGUCAGAGGUGGAAUUCUCGGAUUUGUUAAAGACUAACUUAUGCGAAAGCAUUUGCCAAGGAUGUUUNCAUUAA